GGUGGCGCAGUGUUUAUGCAUUUGGCUGCUAACCAAAAGGUUGGUGGUUUGAAUCCACCAGCCACCC
RNAcentral lists this transfer RNA (67 nucleotides) under Loxodonta africana (African savanna elephant). It matches the Rfam family "tRNA". Rfam says of the family: Transfer RNA (tRNA) molecules are approximately 80 nucleotides in length. Their secondary structure includes four short double-helical elements and three loops (D, anti-codon, and T loops). Further hydrogen bonds mediate the characteristic L-shaped molecular structure. tRNAs have two regions of fundamental functional importance: the anti-codon, which is responsible for specific mRNA codon recognition, and the 3' end, to which the tRNAs corresponding amino acid is attached (by aminoacyl-tRNA synthetases). tRNAs cope with the degeneracy of the genetic code in two manners: having more than one tRNA (with a specific anti-codon) for a particular amino acid; and 'wobble' base-pairing, i.e. permitting non-standard base-pairing at the 3rd anti-codon position. Lineage: Eukaryota; Metazoa; Chordata; Mammalia; Proboscidea; Elephantidae. The record is from Rfam by way of RNAcentral.